RNAcentral lists this ribosomal RNA (253 nucleotides) under uncultured bacterium. RNAcentral describes it as "partial 16S ribosomal RNA". It matches the Rfam family "Bacterial small subunit ribosomal RNA", at positions 524 to 776 of the family's 1533-position model. The record is from RNAcentral.
UACGUAGGGUGCGAGCGUUAAUCGGAAUUACUGGGCGUAAAGCGUGCGCAGGCGGUGAGCUGUGUCCGAUGUGAAAGCCCCGGGCUUAACCUGGGAAUGGCAUUGGAAACUGGCUCGCUGGAGUGUGGCAGAGGGGGUGGAAUUCCGCGUGUAGCAGUGAAAUGCGUAGAGAUGCGGAGGAACACCGAUGGCGAAGGCAGCCCCCCUGGGCUAACACUGACGCUCAGGCACGAAAGCGUGGGGAGCAAACAGG